UUAGAUUCAUCCGCGCUGAUGAGCUGUGCCGAGGAACAACGCACGUACAGAUAACUGUUCCGCAUAUGACUGCAAUCUCAUGUUUCAAACAGAGAUGGCGACAAAGAGGAAAAACUGCGGACAGCAGCUUAAAGUUUAUCAUUAAUUUCUAUUGUGUAUGUGCAUAACAUGCAUAAAUGUGGACCCUUAAAAUAAGGUAUUAACAUCUCCUUUGAGAUCUGCCUCCCUCCCCUUCAGGUACAGUCAUUUUAUUUUCAUCUGUUUACAUUUAUUGAGGUAAGAAGACAAAUAUAAGAAAUAAGAAAAUGAAUGCGUAUCAUUUCUAUCUCUUGUUUCUUGUUCCUUAACAGACCCAAAGGAAAAGGACAGUGAUUCCCAAACCACAGAGAAAUUAAUGACUGUUGAUGAGUAUCAAGCACAACCUCGACAGAGACUCAGAAGAGGCUGAAAAAAAAUGGAGGAAAACGAAAAAUUGAGGAAUGGCGACGACAAAGUAAGAAAAAUGCUCAGAGAGCUACCAAAUCUGAUAAAUGAAGUGAAGAUGGCCCUGAAGUCUCAGUGUUCAUCAGCAUCAGUCAGCUCUGCCCUGGAAGAUGGGAAAGGAUUUGCCACAGAGUAAUUACAGAGCCCUUCCAACAGAACAGGAGCAACGUUGCAGAAAGUGUCCUCAUGUGGUGCCUGCCAGCAUUGGUACAGCAAUUAAUGCCAAACUUUCUGAAAUUAGAGGGAAGAAAACACAAAAACAUCUGAAAACCUUAAUGGUCUUUGAUGAUUGAUAGCUGUGACAGUGUGUUCAAGGUAUUUUGUUGUUGUUGUUGUUGGGGUGUGUGUGUGUCUGUGUUUUGCCUUCGCAAAGUUCAGUUUGAUAUCAAGUUGUAAUUCUAAAUUACUCUUGUGCAGUAUAAUUUGAUUGUCUCUUUGUGUUGAAAUAAAAGUAUUUCUGAUGUAAAUUUGUGCAAGUAAUUGACUGAAAUCAUAUAUGAUUUGUAUAUGCAGAGAUAUAAUAUUUACUGAAAUCAUAUAAGAUAAUUAUAUGUAGAGAUAUGAGGAAUUUAGGUGAAAACAUAA
Molecule: long non-coding RNA, 1068 nt
Organism: Megalobrama amblycephala (Wuchang bream)
Lineage: Eukaryota; Metazoa; Chordata; Actinopteri; Cypriniformes; Xenocyprididae
Exons: 3
Source: RefSeq, a predicted model, not a curated record